Molecule: ribosomal RNA, 253 nt
Filed under: uncultured bacterium
Lineage: Bacteria
Description: partial 16S ribosomal RNA
Rfam family: Bacterial small subunit ribosomal RNA
Source: RNAcentral
UACGAAGGGUGCAAGCGUUGUUCGGAGUUACUGGGCGUAAAGCGCGCGUAGGCGGUUUGACAAGUUGGGAGUGAAAUCCCGGAGCUUAACUCCGGAAUUGCUUUCAAGACUGUUAGACUAGAGUAUGGUAGGGGACAGUGGAAUUCCUAGUGUAGAGGUGAAAUUCGUAGAUAUUAGGAGGAACACCAGUGGCGAAAGCGACUGUCUGGACCAUUACUGACGCUGAGGCGCGAAAGCGUGGGGAGCAAACAGG